UUCGCAAUGCCCGAAAGGGUGACGAAGCGACGCCGCGUGUGGGAAGAAGGCCUUCGGGUUGUAAACCACUGUCGGGAGUUAAGAAAUACAAGGAUAUUAAUAGUGUCUUUGUUUGACUAAGGCUCCGGAGGAAGCCACGGCUAACUCUGUGCCAGCAGCCGCGGUAAUACAGAGGCGGCAAGCGUUGUUCGGAAUUAUUGGGCGUAAAGAGCACGUAGGCGGCUAUGUAAGUCGGUUGUGAAAGCCUUCCGCUCAACGGAAGAACAGCAUCCGAUACUACAUGGCUUGCGUGCGGGAGGGGAGAGUGGAACUUCUGGUGGAGCGGUGAAAUGCGUAGAUAUCAGAAGGAACGCCGGCGGCGAAAGCGGCUCUCUGGCCCAUAACUGACGCUGAGUGUGCGAAAGCUAGGGGAGCAAACGGGAUUAGAUACCCCGGUAGUCCUAGCCGUAAACGAUGGGCACUAAGUAGAGGGGUUUU
Molecule: ribosomal RNA, 477 nt
Filed under: uncultured bacterium
Lineage: Bacteria
Description: bacterial SSU rRNA
Rfam family: Bacterial small subunit ribosomal RNA
Source: RNAcentral